RNAcentral lists this ribosomal RNA (253 nucleotides) under uncultured bacterium. RNAcentral's name for it is "partial 16S ribosomal RNA". It matches the Rfam family "Bacterial small subunit ribosomal RNA", at positions 524 to 776 of the family's 1533-position model. The record is from RNAcentral.
UACGUAGGGUGCAAGCGUUAAUCGGAAUUACUGGGCGUAAAGCGUGCGCAGGCGGUUUUGUAAGCCGGAUGUGAAAUCCCCGGGCUUAACCUGGGAAUGGCAUUCGGGACUGCAAGGCUGGAGUGCGGCAGAGGAGACUGGAAUUCCUGGUGUAGCAGUGAAAUGCGUAGAUAUCAGGAGGAACACCGAUGGCGAAGGCAGGUCUCUGGGCUGACACUGACGCUCACGCACGAAAGCGUGGGGAGCAAACAGG